AAAGAACUUUGAAAAGAGAGUAAAAUAGUACGUGAAAUUGUUGAAAGGGAAACGAUUGAAGUCAGUCGUACCGAAGGAAAAUCAGCUCUUCGAGUGCGGACUUGUGGGCGUACGUGAGCUUUAACCGGCCUCGUCGUUUGCUACGUUUGUGCUUUUUGGGUGUACUUUUUCGUAUGGUAGGCCAACGUCAGUUUCGAUCACCAUAAAAUGAUCGGAGGAAUGUAGCUUCGAUCUUGUAUUGAAGUGUUAUAGCCUUUGGUAGGUGUGGUGACUGAGACUGAGGAUUGCAACGAAUACCCUUUGGGCUAUCCGUCUGACCUCUGAAAGUUGCUUAGGUGCCGAAAGCUUGCUUACGGUCAUCUAUGACGACGGUCAAAAGGUUAGAACGUGAUUAUAUUCGUUAAGGAUGUUGGCGUAAUGGCUUUAAACGACCCGUCUU
This 439-nucleotide ribosomal RNA is filed under the name Glomus microaggregatum. Its description in RNAcentral is "LSU rRNA". It matches the Rfam family "Eukaryotic large subunit ribosomal RNA", at positions 368 to 655 of the family's 3401-position model. Lineage: Eukaryota; Fungi; Glomeromycota; Glomeromycetes; Glomerales; Glomeraceae. The record is from RNAcentral.